CACCUGCCUCGGCCUCCCAGAGUGCUAGGAUUCCAGGCAUGAGUCACCAUCCCCGGCCUGUACAGUCUCAUGAUUAUCUUCCAAAGAGUUUUUAAUUUUUUAUUACUUCUGAAACUCGUAAGUUAUAAAAGAAUCAAAGCAUUAUCUGAGAUGUCAGCUAGUCCAAUGACUGUAAACCAGGGUGGUGGAGUGGUAGUGGGUUUAUCUAAAUCACUUCUGAAGCACUUUUCCAAUAACAGCCUCCCUAUCUUCUGGAAGAAUUCUGGUAUGGCAACCAUGUUACAGUGGCAGUGGGAGUGAGGGGGGACGGGAGGUGAGUGAGCACCUGGGUUGUUUGCUAAACUACUUUAGCAAUUAUUGUGAUAGGUACCUACCCCCCAGAAUGCCCCCAAAACAUAUAACUAGUUGAAGACAAAACCAGAGUUUGAUGCAAAAACUCCUGCCAGUUUUAGUCUAGUCUUUUCCUAAUUAUUUUGCUUUGCCCUGACAAUUCAUCUUCAUCUCCAUAAUCCUUAUUAGUUCCAGAUAGAAACUUCCUUUAAUUUACUUAAACUCUGUUCUGGGAGCUCCCCUGCUCUCAUCUUCUACACUUAAAAACAAAUGAACAAAUUAAUGAACAGACAGCAACACAAACAAGCUAAAACAAACGGGCAGAGACGAUCAACUAUACACUGAAAACUCAUUUUCUCAUUUCCUGGCCUGGGGUUAUUGCUGGGGGUCAGCUUCCCAGCCAGGUGCUGCUUUUCUUAGGCCCUUUUGCAUCCAGGGGCAUCCAUGCACUCAUCAGUUAUCAACCACCAAUCAAGCAGCUGUCUUCUUUCCCGUGUCUAAUCAGACAAGGGUCAUCUGUCACAGAACUAUCCAAUCAGCAUUAAGGUGCCGAGUACAAAAGGCUGCUCAAAGAGAGAGUUUUUCUGACCAACAACAUUCUACUUUAUUGAGGAUUUGGAUGUGAGAGAGAUAUAUAUAUGGAAAGCUGACAUUUGGCUGUGGGAGCAGAAGUAAAAAGAGACACGGCGAGACGGACCUGAGGAAAAAUUCCCCCAGCAUAGACUGGUGAAAAGACAGAGGGCUCUGGAAUUAAUCAAGCUGGGUUUCUGCUUCAGUUUUGUCCCUCAUAGUUACUCCUCUGGGUAACGUGUCUAACAGGACCUCUGGAGCUCAAGGUUGGGCAAUGUAAACUUCUUUCUGAGUGACAUCCCCUGUCUAGGAUCUGAGUGCUCAGUGGAGGGGAGUCAGCAGGCUAAGGUCUUCUGGGCUUGCUUCUCCUGGCAUAGAACCACCAUCUCGAGUUGGAGAAAAGGCUACUGGGGUCUCAAUAUUUUCACUGCACCGUGCCAGAAGUAGAGCAUUUAUUCCACCAUUGGGGAAAAAGGGAGCCCUCAUCUCCCAUCAACACUCAACUGGAAUUUGACCUCAGCAAUAAACCUUCGGAAGUAAGCUGAGAAACGCUGAAGUCCUGCUCUUCCUGGGAAGGAAGCUUUCUGGUUGGGCAGAAAGGCAUCCCUAUGUUCUUUGCUGCAGCAGUGUGGAGUUGCUGAUCUGGGAGAGGGAAGGGAGGGAGAAGUCUUAGUUCAAAUACCGCAGGCUCUUGCCUUUCUUACAGAAUUUUGGCAGAUUUUCUUGAUGUUUCUUCAUUUUCUGUUUGCCCAUUGGACCAUUUCCAGAGUCUCUGAAUGGUUGUUUUUCAUAAUAAUUUUAAUCAAUUUUAUUGGUGAAAUGAAGCUCCUCAUACUGUCAUGCUAGAAGUCAGUUUUUCAGAUUAGAUUUUAAAUACAUAAAACACAUACAAUUAUAAAAUAAGCCAGCUAUAUUGAAAUACAGCCACCAAAAGUUUUUAAAGUUGUGGCAUAGUACUUAUUUGUUGAUAUAUUAAGUACUGUCUGGCUGUGUUCUAAUAACUACCUUAAUUUAAAAUAGAGAUGUACAUAAAUGAAACAUAUGUUUUGGGAUAUCUACAACAAUAUAAUGUAAUAUAGAAAUAUCUAUGAUUGCUAAUGAUGAAAAAGUCAUAGAGGUUUUAAUUUCAUUAUGGUUUGUUGUCUACGCUCAUGAUUUCAGGAAAUGCUGUUUCAGUUAGAGGUCAGUAAAAAUAAAAAUAUAAAUUUUUCCAAUCUGCAUUUACUGAUCCCUUGAAUUUUACCCACGGUCCUUUUGGGGACCAGGCAAAGAUUUCACAUAAGAUUUUAGAUCAUCACAGAAUC
This 2204-nucleotide long non-coding RNA is filed under the name Homo sapiens (human). RNAcentral describes it as "HSALNT0044364". The record is from RNAcentral. Lineage: Eukaryota; Metazoa; Chordata; Mammalia; Primates; Hominidae.